UUCAAGUGUAUGAAUUCUUUGUUUGUUUUAUUUUUACGAGCAUAUAACAUCCUUUUUUAUCGUUAAUUAUCAUCAAAUUAACAACAAAAUUUGAGAAAACAGUUGUCUGAAGCUAGACCAGAUUGAAAACGUCGACGAAUUCGGUAAUCUGCCACAAGGAACGUUGAAAAAGGGUUCAGCAGACGAAAACAAAGUUGUCUGCCAAGGCUGGGUGAAUUUGUGACAACUUGAACUCCAAACGUGUUACGAUUUCACCUGAGACUUAAAUCAUAAAUAGUUAUUGUGUAAUAUUAUACCUGCGUGAGUUUGCCUUCCCCGUAGGUUUUCUCUGAGUAGUGAGUAGCUAGUUUAGUCAUGCUCGCAUGUGUUUUGGCAUUAAGCAAAUGCACCACUUGGCAUUGACCCAAAUGCAGUAAAGUUACUUGUAAUGCCCAUUCCGUUCUCUCACAAGAAGACAGAAAUGAAGCGUUGGCGUCACUUGGAGGUGGGCCUGUAUCAUUCCUUGUUGGACAGAUUCAUUGUGAGGGCCUUGGAUAGGUUGAUGCUGAAUGGUG
Daphnia pulicaria is the source of this 554-nucleotide long non-coding RNA. RefSeq lists it as uncharacterized. NCBI's taxonomy places the organism in Eukaryota, Metazoa, Arthropoda, Branchiopoda, Diplostraca, Daphniidae. The transcript is spliced from 3 exons. The record is from RefSeq and is a predicted model, not a curated record.